This 255-nucleotide ribosomal RNA is filed under the name uncultured bacterium. RNAcentral describes it as "partial 16S ribosomal RNA". It matches the Rfam family "Bacterial small subunit ribosomal RNA", at positions 524 to 776 of the family's 1533-position model. The record is from RNAcentral.
UACGUAGGGGGGCAAGCGUUGUCCGGAUUUAUUGGGCGUAAAGAGCUCGUAGGCGGCUCGUUGCGUCGGCUGUGAAAACCCGCAGCUCAACUGUGGGCUUGCAGCCGAUACGGGCGGGCUGGAGUUCGGUAGGGGAGACUGGAAUUCCUGGUGUAGCGGUGAAAUGCGCAGAUAUCGGGAAGAACACCGGUGGCGAAGGCGGCUCUCUGGGCCUGUCCUGACGCUCAGGCGCGAAAGCUAGGGGGAGCGAACAGG